Molecule: long non-coding RNA, 224 nt
Filed under: Pelobates cultripes (western spadefoot toad)
Lineage: Eukaryota; Metazoa; Chordata; Amphibia; Anura; Pelobatidae
Source: RNAcentral
CAGUUGGAUGUCUGGUGCUUUUGCCCCUCAUUCAGUUUGUCAUCUCCGUCCUUGAUAGGAGUGGUUGGUAGAUACUCAACGUUGGGCCAUCCCUGAAGUUCUUCUCCAUCAGUCCAUCUACAUUCCAUGUUGCUUCUCAGCAGUCGAUCGGUUACGAGUGAAGAUUCUUCUUUCUCUCAUUGCGUUUAUUUUAAAUCAUGACUUAGAGUAUUAAAAAAAAAAAU